This 73-nucleotide transfer RNA is filed under the name Halioglobus sp. Its description in RNAcentral is "tRNA-Thr". It matches the Rfam family "tRNA". From Rfam's summary of the family: Transfer RNA (tRNA) molecules are approximately 80 nucleotides in length. Their secondary structure includes four short double-helical elements and three loops (D, anti-codon, and T loops). Further hydrogen bonds mediate the characteristic L-shaped molecular structure. tRNAs have two regions of fundamental functional importance: the anti-codon, which is responsible for specific mRNA codon recognition, and the 3' end, to which the tRNAs corresponding amino acid is attached (by aminoacyl-tRNA synthetases). tRNAs cope with the degeneracy of the genetic code in two manners: having more than one tRNA (with a specific anti-codon) for a particular amino acid; and 'wobble' base-pairing, i.e. permitting non-standard base-pairing at the 3rd anti-codon position. RNAcentral also lists the same sequence under 1 other name. The record is from RNAcentral. Lineage: Bacteria; Pseudomonadati; Pseudomonadota; Gammaproteobacteria; Cellvibrionales; Halieaceae.
GCCACCUUAGCUCAGUUGGUAGAGCGACGCACUCGUAACGCGUAGGUCCGCAGUUCAAUCCUGCGAGGUGGCU